CGGAACGGAGCAAUCCGGUC
This 20-nucleotide small nuclear RNA is filed under the name Arabidopsis thaliana (thale cress). RNAcentral describes it as "snRNA_05924". The record is from RNAcentral. Lineage: Eukaryota; Viridiplantae; Streptophyta; Magnoliopsida; Brassicales; Brassicaceae.